GACGGAGGAUGCAAGCGUUAUCCGGAAUGAUUGGGCGUAAAGCGUCCGCAGGUGGCAAUUCAAGUCUGCUGUUAAAGCGUCUGGCUCAACCAGAUAAAGGCAGUGGAAACUACAUAGCUAGAGUAAGGUAGGGGUAGAGGGAAUUCCUGGUGUAGCGGUGAAAUGCGUAGAGAUGUGGAGGAAUACCGAUGGCGAAGGCAGCCCCCCUGGGAUAACACUGACGCUCAUGCACGAAAGCGUGGGGAGCAAACAGGAUUAGAGUACCCGU
RNAcentral lists this ribosomal RNA (268 nucleotides) under uncultured bacterium. RNAcentral's name for it is "partial 16S ribosomal RNA". It matches the Rfam family "Bacterial small subunit ribosomal RNA", at positions 524 to 790 of the family's 1533-position model. The record is from RNAcentral.